GAUGAACGCUGGCGGCGUGCCUAAUACAUGCAAGUCGAGCGAACGGACGAGAAGCUUGCUUCUCUGAUGUUAGCGGCGGACGGGUGAGUAACACGUGGAUAACCUACCUAUAAGACUGGGAUAACUUCGGGAAACCGGAGCUAAUACCGGAUAAUAUUUUGAACCGCAUGGUUCAAAAGUGAAAGACGGUCUUGCUGUCACUUAUAGAUGGAUCCGCGCUGCAUUAGCUAGUUGGUAAGGUAACGGCUUACCAAGGCAACGAUGCAUAGCCGACCUGAGAGGGUGAUCGGCCACACUGGAACUGAGACACGGUCCAGACUCCUACGGGAGGCAGCAGUAGGGAAUCUUCCGCAAUGGGCGAAAGCCUGACGGAGCAACGCCGCGUGAGUGAUGAAGGUCUUCGGAUCGUAAAACUCUGUUAUUAGGGAAGAACAUAUGUGUAAGUAACUGUGCACAUCUUGACGGUACCUAAUCAGAAAGCCACGGCUAACUACGUGCCAGCAGCCGCGGUAAUACGUAGGUGGCAAGCGUUAUCCGGAAUUAUUGGGCGUAAAGCGCGCGUAGGCGGUUUUUUAAGUCUGAUGUGAAAGCCCACGGCCCAACCGUGGAGGGUCAUUGGAAACUGGAAAACUUGAGUGCAGAAGAGGAAAGUGGAAUUCCAUGUGUAGCGGUGAAAUGCGCAGAGAUAUGGAGGAACACCAGUGGCGAAGGCGACUUUCUGGUCUGUAACUGACGCUGAUGUGCGAAAGCGUGGGGAUCAAACAGGAUUAGAUACCCUGGUAGUCCACGCCGUAAACGAUGAGUGCUAAGUGUUAGGGGGUUUCCGCCCCUUAGUGCUGCAGCUAACGCAUUAAGCACUCCGCCUGGGGAGUACGACCGCAAGGUUGAAACUCAAAGGAAUUGACGGGGACCCGCACAAGCGGUGGAGCAUGUGGUUUAAUUCGAAGCAACGCGAAGAACCUUACCAAAUCUUGACAUCCUUUGACAACUCUAGAGAUAGAGCUUUCCCCUUCGGGGGACAAAGUGACAGGUGGUGCAUGGUUGUCGUCAGCUCGUGUCGUGAGAUGUUGGGUUAAGUCCCGCAACGAGCGCAACCCUUAAGCUUAGUUGCCAUCAUUAAGUUGGGCACUCUAAGUUGACUGCCGGUGACAAACCGGAGGAAGGUGGGGAUGACGUCAAAUCAUCAUGCCCCUUAUGAUUUGGGCUACACACGUGCUACAAUGGACAAUACAAAGGGCAGCGAAACCGCGAGGUCAAGCAAAUCCCAUAAAGUUGUUCUCAGUUCGGAUUGUAGUCUGCAACUCGACUACAUGAAGCUGGAAUCGCUAGUAAUCGUAGAUCAGCAUGCUACGGUGAAUACGUUCCCGGGUCU
Molecule: ribosomal RNA, 1372 nt
Filed under: uncultured bacterium
Lineage: Bacteria
Description: bacterial SSU rRNA
Rfam family: Bacterial small subunit ribosomal RNA
Source: RNAcentral